Molecule: long non-coding RNA, 246 nt
Filed under: Elaeis guineensis (African oil palm)
Lineage: Eukaryota; Viridiplantae; Streptophyta; Magnoliopsida; Arecales; Arecaceae
Description: long non-coding RNA (EGUI_LNC057032)
Source: RNAcentral
UGAUAUCACUUGUUGCCUAAAGAUAGCAACCUAAGAGAGAGUGUGAAUUGGAUUCUUAUAAAAUUUUAGCAAAACUUAAGCUUUAAGCAAAUAUGUGUUUUAAUUUGACCUAACUUGAGUGAUAGUGAAGUGAAAAUAAUUUAGAAUAGCAUAAUUAAAACAUAUAAGUUAUCAAGCAAGAAAUAAAAUAAAGUUAAGUAAGAAUUAAAAGUAUGUAAGGUAUGUAAAGAGAUAGAACAAGAGGCA